CAUACGAAUGAUCACGAGUCAGACAUUGAUUGGUUACCUUCUGUAGUGCACAAAUUGAUCAUGAGCACAACACGAACAUCAACACAUCUACUCAGUCUACGUGAGCAAAAUCUACAAUUAAUGAGUCUUCCGCCUACAACAUUAAUCGUUAAAGAACUAAAGCCUUAGAGAGAAAUUGAACUUAGAAUCCUAGUAUGGCUACAAUUUUGAGAAUACUGAAUAAGUGAAUAUUAUUAUAAGAGUUAUAUUUAUAGCACUACUUAUACACGCUAUAACUCAUGUUUCUCAAAUUAACGAUAAUGCAACGUAAGAGUGC
Molecule: long non-coding RNA, 316 nt
Filed under: Lathyrus oleraceus (garden pea)
Lineage: Eukaryota; Viridiplantae; Streptophyta; Magnoliopsida; Fabales; Fabaceae
Description: Pisum sativum (pea) long non-coding RNA (PSAT_LNC002332)
Source: RNAcentral